This is a non-coding RNA of Dictyostelium discoideum, 72 nucleotides long. Lineage: Eukaryota; Evosea; Eumycetozoa; Dictyosteliales; Dictyosteliaceae. The record is from Rfam.
GAGUGUAUAGCAUAAUGGUAUUGCGUCAGCCUUUUAAGCUGCAUGGUUUGGGUUCGAUUCCCAAUACACUCA